Molecule: ribosomal RNA, 292 nt
Filed under: uncultured bacterium
Lineage: Bacteria
Description: partial 16S ribosomal RNA
Rfam family: Bacterial small subunit ribosomal RNA
Source: RNAcentral
GUGUCAGCCGCCGCGGUAAUACGGGGGGGGCAAGCGUUGUUCGGAAUUACUGGGCGUAAAGGGCUCGUAGGCGGCCAACUAAGUCGGACGUGAAAUCCCUCGGCUCAACCGGGGAACUGCGUCCGAUACUGGAUGGCUUGAAUUCGGGAGAGGGAUGCGGAAUUCCAGGUGUAGCGGUGAAAUGCGUAGAUAUCUGGAGGAACACCGGUGGCGAAGGCGGCAUCCUGGACCGAUAUUGACGCUGAGGAGCGAAAGCCAGGGGAGCAAACGGGAUUAGAAACCCGCGUAGUCC